This 372-nucleotide ribosomal RNA is filed under the name uncultured organism. RNAcentral describes it as "partial 16S ribosomal RNA". It matches the Rfam family "Bacterial small subunit ribosomal RNA", at positions 527 to 896 of the family's 1533-position model. The record is from RNAcentral.
GGAGGGUGCAAACGUUUGUUCGGAAUCACUGGGCGUAAAGGGCGCGCAGGCGGACCUGUAAGUCAGGAGUGAAAACUCGGGGCUCAACUCCGAGCCUGCUUCUGAAACUGCAAGUCUUGAGGGCCGGAGAGGAGAGUGGAAUUCCUAGUGUAGCGGUGGAAUGCGUAGAUAUUAGGAAGAACACCAGUGGCGAAGGCGACUCUCUGGACGGUUCCUGACGCUGAGGCGCGAAAGCUAGGGGAGCAAACAGGGAUUAGAUACCCUGGUAGUCCUAGCCGUAAACGAUGAGUGCUAGGUGGUGGUGGUUUCAACGCCUUCACUGCCGGAGCUAACGCAUUAAGCACUCCGCCUGGGAGUACGGCCGCAAGGUUG